GCGGGCGGCGGCCGCCGCGCCCCUCUCCGCCCCGGGGGCAGGAGCCGCGCACGCUGCUCGGGGAAACUUCAGAGGCGGCGCUGAGGCUGAGGGAGCGCGGGGCCGGGCGCGGGUCCUGACGGGCAGCGGCCCGUCCCCCGCCUCCCCAUGGCGGGCAGGGCAGGCCCGGCCCUCCCGCGGCUCGUCCCGGGCCGGGCGCCCUUGUGCCGCGGCGCCGCUCCUGCCCUCAGCCCGUUCGCCCGGAACGCCUCGCUGCCCGCAACGCGCCCUCGCAGUCCGGAGGGGAAAGCGUAUAAGAUGCAGCCCGGGCGGAGCGGCGAUCUUCGCUCAGCGGAUUGCCAUUGCCGGGUUAAAAAGAGUUAAAGCGCGGCUGAGAAAGCUCGGGCACCUGAGAGCCAGGCAUAGCCGGAGGGGAGGGCAGGAGAGCCUUCCCGGAGGAGGUGGGGGCUGAGGAGAUGUCUGCCAUUAGGCAUGUUUAUCCUGACAAGUGAGGGAUUCGUAAGGUGCUGCUUCGCUUUCUGGGUUUGUAGGCUGGGAGGCUGGUGGGUGUCAUGAGGGGAAAAGCUGAGAACUGGCUGCUCCAUUUAACUUCAUUUUUUUUUUUUUUCCCUCUCUCUCCCUUUUAUAAUACUUUAGGCAAAUAUCAAAGGCCACGGUAAGCUCAGGAAGUUCAGACUGGUGUGGAUGUUCAGCCUCCUGUUUAAAGACUGCUGAUAACGGUUCUAGAAAUAGCAUCAUCUCUUAGUAGAAGCUUUUUUCUUCAUAAAGAGAAAAGUAUAUAAUUGAAAUGAGAUGCAUUUUGUGAGAGGGUGUUAAUAAGAAAAGUUGUUUAACAAUAUAACUUGCCUCCUAGUGCUUUGGCAACAUUGCUUAUGUUUGAAAGGCAUUCUCCCCUCCACCCCCUCUUUUUAAUACGAAAAUGAUAUCUGUAAAACAUGAUUGUAUAAACCAGGCAUAAUUCCACCAGUAAUCAGGCGACUCGCUCAGGCUGGGUUGUCAUUGUUAAAAAUUAAUAAUAGAUAAUAAAAUAGUGUGUAGCUGUUACAGUUGUUACCAUUGUAAUCAUAUUUUUGAGGGCCAGAGAUUUUGAUGACAUCGGUAUAUGUUUUCACAUCUAACCGUGUGAAACUCUCUGCUAGUCUCAGUAAAUGCCGCACGAAUGCUCAUCAUCUUGGUGCUGGAAAAAACAGUGUCCUUUGUUUGUUUCCAAGCACAUAGAGGGAGAAAGAAAACUCCUAAGAGGUACUGUCAGUCACAGCUCUUCCUCUGAAACCAAGGAUCAGGCUUCAGCAGUCCUGCUGCUUAACCUACUGCAGUGAAGAAGGGGCAUAUUUUAAAGAGCUUUGUAGACCCAGAGAUACCAGAAUGUCUUUUAGGGACAAACAGGUUCGAGAGAGCUAUCAAGUUAUUCAUAUGUGUGUAACCUCUCUAGAGGCAGAAACUUUCUGAUUUGUAACACAAAAUCAAGACCAGGCCAAUGCUGGUUAUAUGUCCAAGAGGAGGGAGGAUAGUGGAGCUAUCAAAGACCACUGACAGAGAUAUCAGUAAAGUACAAAGCCCAGUGAUCAUGUGUGACCAGAUUUUGAAUUACUGUAUACAAUUUGCCUAUAACUUUUAUAUUAUUUUACAUAUUACUUGGCUAUAAUUUGGUUGUUUGGCACUGACCAAGAUGGCUGUGCUGUUCUCUAGCAUGACCUCUUUCCAGGACAGACAAAUACAUCACCUGCAAAGUGAUAUAAAUGCCAGGGUGUGGUUUUUAUCCUGUGGGAUCACAAGCCCACUGCUAGCUUGGGAUUCAGGCUUGCUGUAGAGUGAACUCUGGACAGCCUGCUGAUGAAGCAGUAAUUUCUUUAUCCUUCUCCUGUAACAAAAAUCUUGCUUCAUUUUUUUGAAUAGCAGCAAUUUGAAGGUGCUGAGAUGUUUGUAAUACAGGUGCUUGGAGAUGGAAAUUUUUCAGUCUGGUGGAGGCGAGAAACUAUUUGGACAUCACUGCUUGUAAACAAAGGCAUCUAUUCUCCAAAGCUCUGAGCUCUAAGUGCACUGAGAGAGCAAAUGCCCAUGUCUCUGGAGAUAACCGCAGUAAAUGUAAUCAACUGUGUCUCAAAGCAAGUGCAACAUUUCCUUCCUGAUCUUGCCUCUGAGAACCGGGUUAUAUCUGCUAUUUUGUUAUCAUUGAUUGCAUGUUUGUUUUCUUGCAGGCACUCCUAGUUUACUCCUGUGUCAGCAGCAGAUUUCCCCAGUUGAGGGGACCAUGUUACGUUUGAGAUCCCUAAUGAAUGCUGCACUAAUUAUCUUUGGUCCUAGAAGGUCAUUGAAUGAUGCAGUGAGAUGCUCUUAUUAACCUUACCCUGAGAGUUACAAUCUGUACUGACCACAGUAAAUCUGUUUGGUUUUUUUUUUCUGUUUAGCUCAAGCUGCCCUCACACAAUACAGUGUACUCAGAAGUCAGGAAAAAAAAAAUCCCCAAGCCUACACACAGAGUCAGAAUAAGUUUAACUGUUUGACCUACAACAGUUCUGUCAUCAUCAAUUGACACGUUCGUCUUUCUUUUCUUGAAAUAAAGCUUUUCCCCAGUGUUCUGGCAGCAGCACAAGGAUUGCUGGCAAUGAAGUCACCUUCAAAGCUAAAGCAUUCAUGGAACAAAUGCAUUUCUGGAAGCAAGUAAGGCAGCUUGCAUCAGAAUUUUUGUUAUGGCUAUGCUGCAAUUAGAAUUUAUCCAGUAUUUGUGUUGAGUAUUUUUAAUUGCUUGUCUUAUAUUUGCCCAUUCAGGCAGAGCUCAUCAUGGGAGUACCUUUUCCUUUAAAAAUAAGGGAGGAAGGGAGGCCAGGGGUGUUUCAGGAAAUCAAGAAAACACAUAGAACAACUAAGUAACUAAUGGAACACAACCAGCAGGACUUUUUUUUUUGUUUGUUUGGUUUUUUUCCCCAAGCAAUCAAAGUUUGUGAAUCUGUAGUUAAACAGGAAGACAAAAUGACUCAAAACAAGAAUAUUGCUGUAUUAAAAGAGGCCAUUUCAACAAAGGCAGUCACCACCUGUAGUCCAGGGUGGAGAAGAGAAAAGUCAUUGUAGGCUCAAGGAUUGAUACAUCUAUCAAAAAUCUUUCUGUUAUUGGCUGUGCCAGAUUUUCUGCCUCACUCUCCCUCCUAUAUACAGUUACCCUUCUAUUUUUCAUGGAUAUAUCUUCCUCUGCUGCUGAAAAGUAGAGAAUGCCUAGGUAAACAUAGAAGAGAAUGGAAAUCUGAGUAACUACAGCUGGGUUUUUUUUAAGAUUAUGCUUUUCUGAGCAGUGUCAUUCUUGAGAUGAGUUAGUUAUUCUUCACAGAAGGUUUUAGGAAUGCUUUUAAGGGGAGGUUAGUUAGAAAACAGGGGUAUGUCCCCAUUUGGGCUUUCUCACAUCAUUGACUUUUAGAGGUCAUAUGGAAACACCUUCUUAACUAAAGAGUAGGUGGUAUCAUCACUUUGAUGAUGUUGGCAUGAAAAAAUAGCUCUCCUUGAGUAUAACGGAGUCAUUCAAAGAUUUUGAGAUCAGAAUUACAUACUCUGAUGAAAGGAGGGAUAGCAGUGUAUUUUCAUUAUGGUUUUUAUAAAAGUUUUGUUUGACCUCACGUGUCAUUUAUUGACGUCUGCUCAGAUUUUUAAAAUGCAAUGCAUAACACCAGUGUUAAAUGCUUUGGAUAGUACCAAUCUUUGUAUUUCCUUUGCAGGAGGCCCGUGAACUGUUCCUGUGUCAGGUAAGUAAAUGUUCCUGUGUCAGCUGAGUAAAAUAUCAUUUUGGGGUUUUCUGAAUGAUGGUAGGGGGCUUUAUCCCAGCAGGUCCUGAGGGAAGAGCAAAGUGUCCCUCCUGAGCAGAGGAAAAGUGUGGCAAAUGUCUGAGAUGCCAUCAAGUGUCACUAGAAGCUGUACCAGAGGAUGAGGAGUAUGCAUCUGCCAGCCAGUGCUGGUACAGCUGGGACUCAGCUGCGUUCUACAGACUGAGAUGAAGGGCUGUGGGUAACGAGUGAGUUGUCUGAAUGGAGGUUAUGAGCAACCAUAAUCAGUGGGAUUUUUUUAUGGUUCCUCUUUUUUUUUUUCUUUUGUUUUGUUCAGUUGUUCUUUUCCCCAUGCUGCCAUUGGACAAAACUUUACCGCCUAAGGAAAAGUUGCAAGCUCAAAGUAGAAGACACUGCACAGAAGACUGUAAACAGCUCAACAUGAACACAAGCUCUUUGCUUUUGCAAACUCUACUGGGAGAACAAAAAGAAGUGUACUGAAUAAUUCAGCCUUGAGAGUGAAUUGAGCUUGAGGAGAAUUGUUGAAUUCCCAAGUCUGUGGUUUGUGGUUUUUGUUAUUGACUGCUCACAUGGAUUGAAAGUCCUGUCUCUGCAGUCAGUGGUUUUUAUCUCCCCUUCAGAUUCUGCAAUUUUAUCUGGCUUUUCAUCCCUGAUUACCAGCUCUCUAUUCUUGCUAAUAAACACACAAGAACCAUUGAAGGACCUUCGUGCUUCCAAGGAGAGCCAUAGAUAGCCUGCUAUACUAAUAAAUCAGAAUUUAACAUUGGACCUGAACGUUGAAGAUAGUCCAAUAAAAUUAUGAGGCACUCUUCCUACUAUCCUUCCCUCACAUGCUGGAAUAUCCAAAUUCUUAAGGAAGCUGAAAGUUUGAUAUCAGAAAAGAACCUCCUGAAAAUGGGGUGUCUUAACGCACCCUGAAAUUUGUUGUUUAUGUUAACAUGCUGAUGGGAGCCAGACAAUAACAACAGGAGCUGGUCCUGCAUUUUAUGCAGCUAAUAGGUAAAAAAAAACCAAGUUAAUAUAAUUUGAGUAUUUGUAAAUGCAUAAAAUAUAGAGCCCAGUGGAAUGGGCUUUAUAUUAUAAAAUAUAGAGCAAGGUGGAAUGAUGAUCUGUCACCGAAAGUAGCUUGCCCAGAAAAAUGUUAUAAUUGUAAGAGUCUAGCUAGUAUUCAGGAAUCUGUAUAAAACCUGAAGCAUGCUCAUUUCUUAAAGCCACUUAAUAAAGUAAAUGUUAUUACCUCUAAAGCAUUUUUUUCUCUAGUUCAAAAAGCAGAAUUAUCUGCAGAAAAAAGAAUGUAUAGUCUGAAAAUUGUAAUCACACUGUCUAAUACAACUUUUAUUUAUUUAACUCUUACUGACAAGCUCACUGAGUGGUAUAGUUCCUAUAAGUAAAUAGGAACUAUUUACUUAUAGUAAGUAGCUCGCUCACUAUGUGGACUGCAGGAAGGCUCUGCUAAUGUAUUUCUACUCAGAUGCUUGCAGCUACAAAUUAACAUUUCCUAGCCAAAGGAAAGAAAUAAAGAUGUUUGGUGGCUUUAUGAUGAAUUUGUAAGAGAAUGCUAAGGAAGUGACUUUCAGUGAGGAGAAUCUGGUCCCUUAUCCUUGAACUUAAAGAGAUAACAGAACCUUAACCUAAAAAAGGAAAAAAACAAACAAACCAAAGUCCAAACCAAAUUCUUAAUACCCAAGGAAAAAACCCUCAUUUUUGAUUCAUGUUAAAUUCAUGCUUUGUAACUUACAGAUAUCACCAGCGUUUCUGUAGUCAUGGACUUUGAAAGAUAGCGAAAUCUAGAAAACUUUUAAAAUUAAAUGACAUGUCAGAUGGGAUCUGCUUGCAAGUGAACCAAAUCCAAAAGUCUCCUUGUGGAGGGGUGAAAAUUUUUAUUCCUUAGUUCUGAUUAACAUCUAAUCAAAUAGACUGGAGUCCAUCCAGAAGGCAGUUUUUGGUUUAAAAUAGCCAGUUAACUGCAUCAAGGAUAUGCUUUCUGCCAGGUAUUCCUGAGGUGGGAAAUGUAGAAGUGGUGUUUGUUCUGGGCUAAAAAUCCCUUUUGCCACAAGCAGGAAUUCAAAUCAGAGUUGUAGCACAUGCAUGCACACCAUUUCAAGUGCCAGAACACUUCUGGUUCUAGUUAAGAGGAACAGCCCAUAUCCCUAAAGGCAGGUGGGUGUGCAUCAGGGCUGCCCCUGCAGUGCUCCUGGUGUGCUGGUUUGAGCAUCCUGAGGCAGAACCCUUCCCUCAAAUCUCUGGCUAAGGAUGCAAAACUUACCUUGAAACUGCCCAGAUUUGUAACAGCUGACUUGGGCACAGCCUUGUUUCUGGGCAAAGGAAUGACAGGAAUAACAAAUCCCUCUUACCCAGGUGAAGGAGUAGAGGAAGGAAUCCCAGAGGAACAAUAACAAAUCCCUCUCACCCAGAUGAAGGAGGAGACAAAGGAAUCCCAGAGGAACAGGGUGCUUUGCCCACACUGCAACUCGUGGUACCUCGGUGCAAUGUGUGCCAGGUUCCUGCUCCUGUGCAGCCACAGGGCCCAGUGCUGGGCAUCAAUCUGGGCACAGGACGGGGGAGAGUUUUAUGGGAUUUCGGGCAUCUCCCUUCCCAGCAAACAGCUCCUCUGCCCUAUUGCAGAUGAAACACUGGGGGAAUAAAUGAGCUGUGCUGCAGUGUGAGAUACUUUUGAGGGAGAACCAGAUCCUAAUGCCAGACAUCCUUUAACAGUGUCCCCUGCCUAAAAUGAAAAUGGUUCAAAGCUGCUGUGGGAGAGAAUGGAGGGGUUUUCCUUUUCAAGGUAAGCAGUUCUCUUCUUUCUUCUUAGUCCAAGCCUGUAACUACUUGAACCUCACAAGGUCUGCCUUUCAAGAGAUGCUUAAAAAUUCCAGAGAGGUAGUACUUGAAAGCUGAAGCCAAUGAUUUGCCACAAUCUGCAUUACUUAUGAUGUACAAAGACCUCUGUUAGCUGGUAAAAAGAAAAGUACUUUAUUGGAGACUGCUGGUGAUUGCUAGCUCUUUUAGGAAGCACUGGUUUUGUGUGAUAUUUGUGUGGAGCAUUACUUGAGUCUUAAGUUUAGUCUUCAAUAGCAGAUAUUUCUGUCAGACCUUUAGACCUUUCCCAUUGUACUUGAUUUUUGAGAAGGCAGAGCCUAUGCUGUUGGACAAGUACAAACUAAAUUGGCUGUGCUCAGCACUCAAAGAGCAAUAGCAGCCUUCUGGGGGCUCUUAUGUCUAAUACAGCCCUUUUUUUGCUGCUAUAAAUUGGUAUCUGUCUUAAACAGAAUGAUAGAUAAAUCCCCUCUCCUCCCUCCAGUCUUCAUUUUUUCCAUGUAAGGUUUUAAACAAUCACCAUCAAUUUCAGCUUUCCAGCUCUGCCUUCCUAACUUUAAACCAGCCUAACCUCUCUGGAUUAUUGCCAGAGGCUCUGUGCCUGCUGUAGCAGGAGUAGUAAUUCUUCUGUGGUUUUAGUCCUGUGUCCUUAUUUCCCACCUUUGACAGUCCAUGGCUGUUUUCUCCUCCAGAGUUUCCCUGUACCUGCCCAGUCCCAGCUGCACCCACGAGUCUCAUGCCAGCUUUAGAAGGAGUGACAUGACAUUGCCUCCUGCUUCUUCAAGCUCCUAUUUUAGCUGUGUGAGCAUGUCGAGCUCUAUCACUCAGCUGCAUAUGCUCUCCUUUUCCAAACUCUGUCCUUAACCUAAAUUCCAUCUUUCAGCCUGGCAGGGGGACUUGCUUGUCUACACCUCUGUCCACCAGGUCACCUGGGAGGCUCUCAGCCUGCAGCACCCAUCUCACUGCUGCUUCUCUGCUCUCCUGAAAGCUGCCUCCCAGUGCAGUUGUAGGGCUGGCUGGUACUUGCCUGAACUGGAGUGACAGCUCAUUUAGCCCUGCUUCCUCCAACUCUCAUUUCAGGAGCAUCUGCCAGCCUGAGUCUUGAAGGGUUUGCAGGGAUGAAGUGAGUCCUAUGGACAGGAUAGGAAGGCACAGUCCAUUCUGCAGGGGUUUAAGUGCCUGCUGGAUUUUUUUUUAAGAGCCACAGAGCUAAAAUGUGGCAGGUGCAAGUCACAUUUUAGGCAUAGCUUCUACCUUACUUAUAUAUUUUUAUCAUACUUUUACCUGUGGUCUUGCUUGUCUUUUAUGAUUUAAUGCCUGUUUCAGCUUCAUGAGUUCUCCUUUCUUGAGCCAUCCCUGACUACAGUCUCAGCUGUCACCAUUGGGCUGUUAUUUGUCUUCCCAUGCUAGAAACUCUUUUAAGAUUUAGUCCUGCAGAUUUUUUCCCUCAUCUCUUAAUGUAUCCCUGGCCAUGUGACUUGCACUUCCCAUUUAAAUUAUAAAUCAUUAAUAAAUCAUUAACUUGUGCUUACCCCAUAAUUGUAUCAGAUGGAAAGAAGAUACAUCUGAAUUCAUCCUCAGGUUGAAACUGAGAAAUUUGAGUUACAUUUUAGAAGACAUCUGUAAGAUGUCCAGCUGGAGCAGAGUCCAGAUUAAAUAUCCUCUGAAUUGCUAUAUAAGUAGAGCUUUUUUCUCAUUUAUCAUCACUAGAAUCAAGCAUCAUCUUAGGGUUUUAGCCCCUGCUUUCCUGAUCCCUGUUCACAGUCUGAGCCUCCUUAUUCCAAUUAAUAAACCUAGCCAAGUGAUACCAGCCUGAUUCUCUAGGUACCCAGUCAAGUAAUUUUUGUCCAAAAUAGAGGUCUAAUCCAAAACCAGUUUUAGGUUUACAGGCCUUCCUAUGGUGAUCCUCAGUACUAUUUAGUCCACCUUCUCUUCUUCCCAACCUCCAGGCAGUUGUGUAUGGAUUACUGAAUUUAGUUCCUUAUUCUGUUUUCUGGACUUCAGACUUUCUGCUUGACACCUCUAGCCUAGAAAUAUAUAGCUGUUAAUUUCUCUGCUGUGUUUACUUUGGUAGAUAAAUCGAGUUUAUACCUGCGCAGGAGAAAUCAUAAGUAAAAUUUUGAUUGGAAAGCCUGUUGAAAUAAUGAAUAUACAUAACCAAUUUAGUACACAUCCACACAUUUUCACUCUCAGAGAUGGCUAUUCUUCCACAGAAAGCUGUCCUAUUCACUAAGAGUGUUCAUGUGCAGCCUUUCCCUGUGCAAUUGCAUCACAUUUUCAGGGUGUAAGGAGAAAGGCUCAAGCCCUCCCUCUUUGGGCUAGAUUCUUCCAAGGAGAGCCUCACUCUAGGAGAAGCACAGGGAGUACUUUGUGUGCUGUGCUCUCUUGAAAAAUGUGUCAACCUGCUAUGAUCUCUCCAUGGCAGCAGAUCUCCUGGAAAGCCUGGCUCCCAUCCAGGGGAGCCAGCAUGGAUGUGUGUGGUGAAGCCUUCCUCACCAUGAGACUAUCAAAAAAGCUGUACACAUAAUUCUUCAGAUAGAUUAAAUGCAGUCCAAGCACAUUUUCUCUGAUUCAUUCCGGUGCUUCUCAGCUUGGCAGCUGCCAAAUUGUGUUUUUUCAACCUUUUGAAUGGUAGAAUUUUUAAAAUAUUUAUUCCUUUUGAUGAUGGGUACUUAUAAAAUAUAUUCUCUCUUGGAAAAAAAUCAAGUUUAUCAAUUUUACAAAGGAAUCACCAUUAAUUUAAUGCAAUAUCCUACCUGUAAAUAGCAGAAUUUAGGUUGGAAGGCUGAUGUCAGAGUAGAUUGGGAGCAGAAAACCCAGAUUAGAAUGAAUCUGUAAACACAGUUUGCUAGUACAACAUCAGGAAUGGAAAAAUCAGUUUUCAGGUCUUGAAUUUACAGCAUCAUAUUUAAGAUCUUGUGUUUUCAGACUGAAUGAGAUCUUAUCAGAAAUGAAUGAAAACUGUUGGUUCAUAUUUGUCUUAUUAAGAGAUUUCAGGAAAUGCUUUAUAUCAAGGCUAACUGCAUGCACAUAUUUACUGUCAGCUUUAAACUCUUUUCCAAAAGGUAUGAGGAGAAGAGUAAGAGAAGGCUGGCAACACCUAAGAUUGCUGGAGUGCUCCAGAUGUUCUGAGUGCUGAGGCCUUGCCAGCAUCCUGCUGCCUUGAAAAAUCAGCAGGUUGGUGGUCGAAGACAAUGAUGUUCUGUGAUGUUAAGCUAAGUGCUUCCACCCAGCAGCUGGGAGUCACUGGAAGACUUUCUGCUGCAGGGAUCCUGUGCUUUCCUAUGAUAAAUUAGAGGUAAAAUAACCAAUUUUACAUAAUAAAUUUACAUUAUGGCAGGUAAAAUAGAUCCUUUACUUCCCUCGAAUUAAGAUUGAACAGCAAAUAUUACUCACCUGUUCAUCAAUAAAUCACAAAUGGCACAGAUGUGAAGACUUUUGCUUGUAGUAAAAAAAAUAAAACUCAUACACCCAGCCAAAUUAUACUGCAGCUUUUUUAUUUCUAGCUCUUUGACAUACUGUGGUUUUGAACCUGUUACUUUGCUUUUAGCUGAGGACUUUUGAACACAGUCCAAUGCUUUGUUGUUUGCCAGUGGGAGAGAGAAGACCUUUUGUAAAAACAGCAGUUUCAGUGAGAAUUCCAUGGCUAAGGUUCAUAAUAGUCAGACCUUUCUUUAAAUUGCAAGCAUCAGUCUUUUUUUUUUUUUUUUUUUUUUUAUUUGUGAUGAAAAGAGAAGGUUUGAUAAGCCUGCUUAGCCUUUCUCCAUGCUUUGUGAUUUACUUUAAUAAAACACUACUUUGCCUUGGGCUUUCUGCUGACUGCGCUGUAACACUUGUACCCCAAAAUGUGUUUGUCAAUCUCUGUCACAUCUUUUCUUAUCUACCUUCAUCUCUCUGUCUAUUUAUGCAGCCUUCAGUAUCAUCAAAUGCUUAUCAGCACAGGAAUUCUGGCAGAUGCCCUGUCACAGAGCUCCCUGUGUGAGAGGUCCACGUUUCCCACCUUGCUUCUGAAAGGAUGCUGCACGCCUGUGUCACGUUGUACCACACAGCUGGGAGUGCUGAGGGCCUUGUAAUUAGCUGCAGGAUCAAGGGGAAUAGGACCACUAGAUCAAUCCUCCAGCAAGAUGCCCUUAUCAUUGUCUGUGCUCAAUAUCUGAUCUCUUGGUCUCCUUUGAAGAUUAAGCAAAACAGCAUCCUGGAGUCCUGCAGCAUCUCCGUGUCACCUCUGCAGCACUCUGCCUGAAGUGAAUACAUGGAGGAACACCAGCAGGAAAAUGAGGAUUUGGCAAAUGUAUGCCCGAGGCUGACUUGCACAGGAAUCUUCACUGUCUUUAAAGUCCAACGACGAUCUGCUGGACCAUAAAAAGCCACCAAAACGUGCCUGCAGACUCCGUCAUCCUAAAUUUCCUGGAGACAUGUUCUGUUUGUCCUGAUAGCAGAAUUUCAAAGAAUGAUUGACUGAUUCUCUUAUUAAAGUCUAUGCCCAAGAGGAAAAA
This is a non-coding RNA of Taeniopygia guttata (zebra finch), 11083 nucleotides long. Lineage: Eukaryota; Metazoa; Chordata; Aves; Passeriformes; Estrildidae. The record is from RefSeq and is a predicted model, not a curated record.